Molecule: long non-coding RNA, 2182 nt
Organism: Passer domesticus (house sparrow)
Lineage: Eukaryota; Metazoa; Chordata; Aves; Passeriformes; Passeridae
Exons: 3
Source: RefSeq, a predicted model, not a curated record
AGACACUUCCACCCUGUUAGCAAACACACCUGCAAUAUCUUUACCUUAAAUGAGCUAUAAAGUUGUCUGCCUCCCCUUCACUGUUUACUUUGUGCUCCUGUUUUCUGCACAUGCUGCAAUAUUUUGCUCCUUAAGAGAAGUGCUGAAAACCCUCUUCUGCCACUCUUUUCCAUGUGCCAUGAUUGCAUUGAGCAUCUCCAGGCAGCCACAGGGCAGCAGAGCAGUGGCACAAGUCAGCUGGUUUCAAACCUCUCCUGCAGAGCAGUUUGGAAGGGAUUUCUCUUGGCAUAGCAUGGGGAAGAAAGGAUCAAGUACUGCAAAUAAGCUGUCUUCACAGGAAGCUUAUACAGAUGUAAAUUAUCACAGCAGUGCCAUUUUCUCUGGAGCCUUCUCAGAUGGCAUAAUUCAUAGAUAACCCUCCAGUGAGAUUCCCUGAUGCAUCCCAGCUCCCAAACACUGAUGUGAGGUUGGGAAGUCAUGCUGAAUCACCUGCCUACAAGCAGGUUUAAGCAGAAGGGAAGAUUUUACUUUGGAAGCCAAAGGAGCAAUACCAAGAGGGUUAAGGGAAGUGACUGCAUUUUGGGUAGCAAAGUGCAGUUUCAGAUGUUCAGUUUUGAUGACAACAGACCAGAGAAUUAAGCAAUGCACUAUAAAGAUUUUUCUUAGCCUUUCUGAUACUGAAUUUCUCCAGAGGAAUUCAGUACCAGCCAGCUCUGAUCAAUAAGUAUGCUAUUGAUGGAAAGCAAGGGAAGGACUUAGAGAAUCAUUAAAGGUCAGCUGACUUGUCCCUAAAGCUCACAUGCUCAGCAUCUGAGGCAGUGAAAUGCACCCAGGAAAGAGGUUAGGUUUUGUAUGGCUGGCUGAAAUUUGUAUCUCCUAGCACUGAAGAAUAUUAAUUUCUAGGGGCUGGUCAUGAGGAAGCAAAUUAGUAACUUCCACUGUUCUUUGAUGCAAAACAAGUUAAGAUUGUUCUAUUUGAGUUCAAAUAAAAAACCCAGCCGAGAAAAACAUCACUCACAAAACUUGGAGCACUACAGUUUCAUCACCCAAAAUGUUGCUAUUGUAAAUUUGGUUCAGCUACAAAGAUUGCAUCUUUUAGUACAUUAUAAAUAAACUUUUCAGUAUACUGUUGCAAGAGUCAAGGCCGCAUGCUGUAAAAAAAUGCAAUUAGAAGAAAAGAAAGUGAGGAGAGGUGAGGCUCUCCAAGUGGAAUAUACAUGUUGUAACCCCGAGAUCACCUAGAGACACAGGGGCAAACUGCAGGUCCUGCUGGGCUCGGGACAUUUUGUCUGCUUUACUUCCUUCCAGGAAUGAUAGUGGGACUAUAUCCUGAGAUGGGAAAAGUAUCCACCUGUGAUAUAAAGAUUGUUAGUGAUGAAAACUAUCACAACCUUCAUUGAAUUGUUCCUCUGCUUGGGAAGCACCAUUGUUAGCAGCCUGAAAUAUAUGUCUGGAACAUACAAAAUUUAGGUUACCUAAAGUUGAAGCAAUUUUGCUUCUACCACAGAUUUCCUUGUUCAGCAAAGGUUUCUGCUUUCUGGUGGCUUUUACCUUUCCAGUUAUUUACUCUACAGCCAAGUUAUUAUGUGCCUUUCUAUUCUGUUUGACCUUUAGUACACCUAUUGAUUUAUUUUCUUUUAAACUUCCCAAGUCCAUGGUUUUAUUUUGUCAGCUGUAUAGCAAUGUUUUCCUGAAGCCUUGGUGUAUUUGUUAAAUGCUCUUCCUAAGUGAACUAGGCUAAUAAUCUCUCUAAGAUUACUUUGAGCAGAUAUAUUUUCCAUCCUUGAUCAGCAUUAACAGUACCAUGCACCUUCCAGUCUCUGUUAAUUGAAUUAAAUAUGAGCUUUUCCUUUGUUGUCCCAUACUGAACUCAGCCUGUCAGGUUCUGUUGUCUCAGCCACCUUGCCCAUACUUUUUAAUAAACUAACAAGGAACUGGCAUUUUCAAAGUUUUCUGGAAUUCUCUCCUGUCCAUGAAUUACUGAAAAAUGAACAUUACCUGCCAAAAAAGCUUUGCAGCCAGCUCUGUUAAAAUUUCUCAAUGCAAAUUACCCAGAACUUCUGAUUUAAGUAUGUCUAACUACAGUAGCUGUUGAUUAAUACCCUCUUUAGUUACAGUAGGGAUAGAAAGUAUAUUACCAUCAUCAUCUAACAAAUACUUCAUCCUUUCCUCCAAAUACAGA